GAUGAAGAACGCAGCGAAAUGCGAUAAGUAAUGUGAAUUGCAGAACUCAGUGAAUCAUCGAAUCUUUGAACGCACAUUGCGCCCGCUAGUAUUCUGGCGGGCAUGCCUGUCCGAGCGUCAUUUCAACCCUCAAGCCCCCGGGCUUGGUGUUGGGGAUCGGCGAGCCUCCGCGCCCGCCGUCCCCUAAAUCUAGUGGCGGUCUCGCUGUAGCUUCCUCUGCGUAGUAGCACACCUCGCACUGGGAAACAGCGCGGCCACGCCGUUAAACCCCCAACUUCUGAACGUUUGACCUCGGAUCAGGUAGGAAUACCCGCUGAACUUAAGCAUAUCAAUAAGCGGAGGA
Molecule: unclassified non-coding RNA, 343 nt
Filed under: soil metagenome
Description: partial contains 5.8S ribosomal RNA, internal transcribed spacer 2, and large subunit ribosomal RNA
Rfam family: 5.8S ribosomal RNA (bases 1-120)
Source: RNAcentral